UUUCCGUAGGUGAACCUGCGGAAGGAUCAUUCACAAUGAGUGUUUUAUGGCACUCUUUAAAAAUCCAUAUCCACCUCGUGUGCAAUGUUUGUUGGGAGAGAGGCAACUCUUUCCCUUCACAAAUAUCAACCUAUAUCUUUAACAACAUUCGCCUGAUAACAUAUUAUGAAUAUACUUAAUUCAAAAUAUAACUUUCAACAACGGAUCUCUUGGCUCUC
RNAcentral lists this unclassified non-coding RNA (218 nucleotides) under plant metagenome. RNAcentral describes it as "partial contains small subunit ribosomal RNA, internal transcribed spacer 1, and 5.8S ribosomal RNA". The record is from RNAcentral.